This 522-nucleotide ribosomal RNA is filed under the name uncultured bacterium. Its description in RNAcentral is "bacterial SSU rRNA". It matches the Rfam family "Bacterial small subunit ribosomal RNA", at positions 337 to 877 of the family's 1533-position model. The record is from RNAcentral.
UCCUACGGGGAGGCAGCAGUGGGGAAUCUUAGACAAUGGGCGCAAGCCUGAUCUAGCCAUGCCGCGUGUGUGAUGAAGGCCUUAGGGUCGUAAAGCUCUUUCGCCAGAGAUGAUAAUGACAGUAUCUGGUAAAGAAACCCCGGCUAACUCCGUGCCAGCAGCCGCGGUAAUACGGAGGGGGUUAGCGUUGUUCGGAAUUACUGGGCGUAAAGCGUACGUAGGCGGAUCAGAAAGUAUGGGGUGAAAUCCCGAGGCUCAACCUCGGAACUGCCUUGUAAACUCCUGGUCUUGAGUUCGAGAGAGGUGAGUGGAAUUCCAAGUGUAGAGGUGAAAUUCGUAGAUAUUUGGAGGAACACCAGUGGCGAAGGCGGCUCACUGGCUCGAUACUGACGCUGAGGUACGAAAGUGUGGGGAGCAAACAGGAUUAGAUACCCUGGUAGUCCACACCGUAAACGAUGAAUGCCAGUCGUCGGGCAGUAUACUGUUCGGUGACACACCUAACGGAUUAAGCAUCCGCCUGGA